Molecule: ribosomal RNA, 198 nt
Filed under: uncultured bacterium
Lineage: Bacteria
Description: partial 16S ribosomal RNA
Rfam family: Bacterial small subunit ribosomal RNA
Source: RNAcentral
ACGCUCGACACCUACGGGAGGCAGCAGUGGGGAAUAUUGCACAAUGGGGGAAACCCUGAUGCAGCGACGCCGCGUGAGUGAAGAAGUAUUUCGGUAUGUAAAGCUCUAUCAGCAGGGAAGAAGAUGACGGUACCUGACUAAGAAGCCCCGGCUAACUACGUGUCAGCAGCCGCGGUAAUCUGAGCGGGCUGGCAAGGC